RNAcentral lists this ribosomal RNA (492 nucleotides) under Triticum aestivum (bread wheat). RNAcentral describes it as "partial small subunit ribosomal RNA". Lineage: Eukaryota; Viridiplantae; Streptophyta; Magnoliopsida; Poales; Poaceae. The record is from RNAcentral.
AUGAACCGGCAAUGGAUGUACGGUGACAGACACACCUCUGAGUACAUUAAGGGCGUGCAUGACUUUGACGAUGCGGCUGAGGCAAAUAAGCAGAAUGGUUUUAUGUGUUGUCCAUGCACUAAAUGUGGGAAUACGAGGUCUUACUCUAACCGAAAAAUCCUUCACUCCCACCUGCUUUACAAGGGUUUCAUGCCACACUAUAAUGUUUGGACGAGGAACGAAGAAAUAGGGGUUAUGAUGGAAGACGGCGAAGAAGAGUACGAUGACAACUAUGUGCCCCCUGAAUACGGUGAUGCUGCAACGGGGGGAGCUGGUGAAGAUCAAGAGGAACCAGACGAUGUGCCCAAUGAUGCUGCAACGGGUGAAGCUGCUGAAGAUCAACAGGAACCAGACGAUGUGCCCGAUGAUGAUGAUCUCCGCCGGGUCAUUGUCGAUGCAAGGACGCAAUGCGAAAGUCAAAAGGAGAAGCUGAAGUUCGAUCGCAUGUUAGAG